The submitters of this non-coding RNA (105 nucleotides) gave its source as unclassified sequences. The record is from Rfam.
AAAGAGAACAUUGAGAGAUAACAGAAUUAGUCUGACCCUUCUCAAGAUGAUUCUUACGAGAAUUCACAGAAGAGUUGCAAGGGCAGAAUGUAACUUGGUCUCUUU